This 69-nucleotide transfer RNA is filed under the name Ictidomys tridecemlineatus (thirteen-lined ground squirrel). RNAcentral describes it as "Spermophilus tridecemlineatus (thirteen-lined ground squirrel) tRNA". It matches the Rfam family "tRNA". From Rfam's summary of the family: Transfer RNA (tRNA) molecules are approximately 80 nucleotides in length. Their secondary structure includes four short double-helical elements and three loops (D, anti-codon, and T loops). Further hydrogen bonds mediate the characteristic L-shaped molecular structure. tRNAs have two regions of fundamental functional importance: the anti-codon, which is responsible for specific mRNA codon recognition, and the 3' end, to which the tRNAs corresponding amino acid is attached (by aminoacyl-tRNA synthetases). tRNAs cope with the degeneracy of the genetic code in two manners: having more than one tRNA (with a specific anti-codon) for a particular amino acid; and 'wobble' base-pairing, i.e. permitting non-standard base-pairing at the 3rd anti-codon position. Lineage: Eukaryota; Metazoa; Chordata; Mammalia; Rodentia; Sciuridae. The record is from Rfam by way of RNAcentral.
GGGGUUGUGGCUCAAUGGUAGAGCACUCGCCUGGCACGUGUGAGGCCCUGGGUUCAAUCCUCAGCACCA